UGACCAUCAUGGCGACCUGUCAUGCUACUCGCUCGAGAUUAAUGGUUGAUUAUCGAAUAAUAGUGGCAGGAGUUAGGGGUGUGCACGCCAUUUUGGUUAACGAUCCACUCGAUGAUUUUAUGACAUGCGAACUUUUGCGACUGCGCGCAAUGCAGUUGGUCGAGUCAGUAUUUACUGCGUAAGAGUAUUUUCAAUAUUUUUCAGAGCACAAUAGCUCUAGAUUUAAUUUAAAAAAGUAUUAAUUUAUUAUCAGUGUCUUAUACGUGAAAAUAGAGUCAGUGUUUGUUCGGCGAUUGUUAAUUAAACGAUCGCGUUAAUAGUCUAAUUUUUAUGUUUUUUAUAUUUUUGUUUUAUAAAUAUUCGUUUUCGGUAUUAGAGUCAGUGCACAAGAUGAACCAGCCUCAUCAGGAAUAUUCAUGAAUUAUUUGUCACAAUUUUUUUAUUUUCUGUUUGCUGGAAAG
Molecule: long non-coding RNA, 461 nt
Organism: Frieseomelitta varia
Lineage: Eukaryota; Metazoa; Arthropoda; Insecta; Hymenoptera; Apidae
Exons: 4
Source: RefSeq, a predicted model, not a curated record